This 433-nucleotide ribosomal RNA is filed under the name uncultured bacterium. Its description in RNAcentral is "partial 16S ribosomal RNA". It matches the Rfam family "Bacterial small subunit ribosomal RNA", at positions 29 to 507 of the family's 1533-position model. The record is from RNAcentral.
AACGAACGCUGGCGGCAGGCCUAACACAUGCAAGUCGAGCGAGGACUUCGGUUCUAGCGGCGGACGGGUGAGUAACGCGUGGGAAUGUGCCCUUCUCUACGGAAUAGCCCUGGGAAACUGGGAGUAAUACCGUAUACGCCCUAUUGGGGAAAGAUUUAUCGGAGAAGGAUCAGCCCGCGUUGGAUUGGGUAGUUGGUGGGGUAAUGGCCUACCAAGCCGACGAUCCAUAGCUGGUUUGAGAGGAUGAUCAGCCACACUGGGACUGAGACACGGCCCAGACUCCUACGGGAGGCAGCAGUGGGGAAUCUUAGACAAUGGGGGCAACCCUGAUCUAGCCAUGCCGCGUGAGUGAUGAAGGCCUUAGGGUUGUAAAGCUCUUUCAGCUGGGAAGAUAAUGACGGUACCAGCAGAAGAAGCCCCGGCUAACUCCGUG